CCUACGGGAGGCAGCAGUGAGGAAUAUUGGUCAAUGGGCGCAAGCCUGAACCAGCCAAGUCGCGUGAAGGAUGACUGCCCUACGGGUUGUAAACUUCUUUUAUAAAGGAAUAAAGUAAGCCACGUGUGCCUUUUUGCAUGUACUUUAUGAAUAAGGAUCGGCUAACUCCGUGCCAGCAGCCGCGGUAAUACGGAGGAUUCGAGCGUUAUCCGGAUUUAUUGGGUUUAAAGGGAGCGUAGGGGGGUUGUUAAGUCAGUUGUGAAAGUUUGGGGCUCAACCGUAAAAUUGCAAUUGAUACUGGCAGUCUUGAGUUCAGUUGAGGUAGGCGGAAUACGUGGAGUAGCGGUGAAAUGCUUAGAUAUAACGAAGAACUCCGAUAGCGAAGGCAGCUUACUAAACUGCCACUGACGUUGAUGCACGAGAGUGUGGGUAGCAAACAGGAUUAGAUACCCGAGUAGUC
This 460-nucleotide ribosomal RNA is filed under the name uncultured bacterium. RNAcentral describes it as "partial 16S ribosomal RNA". It matches the Rfam family "Bacterial small subunit ribosomal RNA", at positions 338 to 795 of the family's 1533-position model. The record is from RNAcentral.